UACGGAGGGUGCAAGCGUUGUCCGGAUUCAUUGGGGUUAAAGGGUGCGCAGGCGGGCGAUUAAGUCAGGGGUGAAAGACGGUUGCUCAACAAUCGCAGUGCCUUUGAUACUGGUUGUCUUGGGUGACCUUGAGGUAGGCGGAAUGGGUGGUGUAGCGGUGAAAUGCAUAGAUACCACCCAGAACUCCGAUUGCGAAGGCAGCCUACUGGAGGUUCACCGACGCUCAGGCACGAAAGCGUGGGGAUCAAACAGG
RNAcentral lists this ribosomal RNA (253 nucleotides) under uncultured bacterium. Its description in RNAcentral is "partial 16S ribosomal RNA". It matches the Rfam family "Bacterial small subunit ribosomal RNA", at positions 524 to 776 of the family's 1533-position model. The record is from RNAcentral.